Long non-coding RNA from Drosophila montana, 564 nucleotides. RefSeq lists it as uncharacterized. Lineage: Eukaryota; Metazoa; Arthropoda; Insecta; Diptera; Drosophilidae. The record is from RefSeq and is a predicted model, not a curated record. The transcript is spliced from 3 exons.
AUGUAGCAAAAGUAAUAAAAUGUAUGUGUGUCUUCAACUAAAGUCAUAAAAAGUGAAUAAGUGUGCUUAUUUAAGAUAGUGCUUCAAUUUUUUCAUAUUCGUUACGCAAUUUCUACAAUCCGUUAUUCGCUGCGCUCUUGUUGUUGCUGUUUCUACGCGCAGAUUUUUGCAUUCCUUCUUAUUCCCACGCCUAACGGAUUUUACGCGCUCAAGCAUUUAUGUUGCUCUCUCAUCAGAUAUGAACCAGCAAUUCGGAACUUGUUCACCUUGUCAAAAACGGAAGAGGACACACGCUCAAAUGACUUCAAUGAAGGCAAUUUCCUCACACGUCGUCGUCAGAGCGUUGAUUUAAUUUAACCUUAAAUGGGAAACAUCUAUGCACGCGUAUCUUUCCGGACUCUGCGUGGAACGAACGAACAGGACAACCGACGAGUCGAGCAGACGGCACAAAAAGGCCACCAGGACAAGGAGGACAAGCAGGACACGUGCUCGACACCAGCAACUGGAACUAGCCACUGACCAGCGGGCGAGACGUUGCCAACGUGACGAGCUAAACCACCAGCA